CCUACGGGAGGCAGCAGUGGGGAAUAUUGCGCAAUGGGCGAAAGCCUGACGCAGCGACGCCGCGUGAGGGAUGAAGGUCUUCGGAUCGUAAACCUCUGUCAGCAGGGAAGCACGGUCACUGUGCUAAUCAGCAGUGAAUUGACGGUACCUGCAAAGGAAGCACCGGCUAACUCCGUGCCAGCAGCCGCGGUAAUACGGAGGGUGCGAGCGUUAAUCGGAAUUACUGGGCGUAAAGCGCUCGUAGGCGGUAUGUCAAGUCAAGGGGGAAAUCCCCGCGCUCAACGUGGGAACUGCCUUUGAAACUGGCAAACUGGAGUGUGUGAGAGGAUAGUGGAAUUCCAGGUGUAGGAGUGAAAUCCGUAGAUAUCUGGAGGAACAUCAGUGGCGAAGGCGACUAUCUGGCACAUAACUGACGCUGAGGAGCGAAAGCGUGGGUAGCAAACAGGAUUAGAUACCCCAGUAGUC
Molecule: ribosomal RNA, 465 nt
Filed under: uncultured bacterium
Lineage: Bacteria
Description: partial 16S ribosomal RNA
Rfam family: Bacterial small subunit ribosomal RNA
Source: RNAcentral